AACAAGAACGACUCUCGGCAACGGAUAUCUCGGCUCUCGCAUCGAUGAAGAACGUAGCGAAAUGCGAUACUUGGUGUGAAUUGCAGAAUCCUGUGAACCAUCGAGUCUUUGAACGCAAGUUGCGCCCGAAGCCGUUAGGUUGAGGGCACGUCUGCCUGGGUGUCACAC
This 168-nucleotide ribosomal RNA is filed under the name Krameria secundiflora. RNAcentral's name for it is "5.8S ribosomal RNA". It matches the Rfam family "5.8S ribosomal RNA". Rfam says of the family: 5.8S ribosomal RNA (5.8S rRNA) is a component of the large subunit of the eukaryotic ribosome. It is transcribed by RNA polymerase I as part of the 45S precursor that also contains 18S and 28S rRNA. Functionally, it is thought that 5.8S rRNA may be involved in ribosome translocation. Lineage: Eukaryota; Viridiplantae; Streptophyta; Magnoliopsida; Zygophyllales; Krameriaceae. The record is from RNAcentral.